This 253-nucleotide ribosomal RNA is filed under the name uncultured bacterium. Its description in RNAcentral is "partial 16S ribosomal RNA". It matches the Rfam family "Bacterial small subunit ribosomal RNA", at positions 524 to 776 of the family's 1533-position model. The record is from RNAcentral.
UACGUAGGGAGCAAGCGUUGUCCGGAUUCACUGGGUGUAAAGGGUGCGCAGGCGGGAGAGUAAGUCAGAGGUGAAAUCUCACAGCUUAACUGUGAAACUGCCUUUGAUACUGCUUUUCUUGAGUUCGGGAGAGGUUGAUGGAAUUCCAGGUGUAGCGGUGAAAUGCGUAGAUAUCUGGAAGAACACCAGUGGCGAAGGCGGUCAACUGGCCCGUAACUGACGCUCAGGCACGAAAGCGUGGGUAGCAAACAGG